This 235-nucleotide ribosomal RNA is filed under the name uncultured Eubacteriales bacterium. Its description in RNAcentral is "uncultured Clostridiales bacterium partial 16S ribosomal RNA". It matches the Rfam family "Bacterial small subunit ribosomal RNA", at positions 99 to 334 of the family's 1533-position model. Lineage: Bacteria; Bacillati; Bacillota; Clostridia; Eubacteriales. The record is from RNAcentral.
CGAACGGGUGAGUAACGCGUGAGCAACCUGCCUAUGACAGUGGGAUAGCCUCGGGAAACCGGGAUUAAUACCGCAUAAAAUCGUAGAAACACAUGUUUUAACGGUCAAAGAUUUAUCGGUCAUAGAUGGGCUCGCGUCUGAUUAGCUAGUUGGCGAGAUAACAGCCCACCAAGGCGACGAUCGGUAGCCGGUCUGAGAGGAUGAACGGCCACAUUGGAACUGAGACACGGUCCAA